Molecule: long non-coding RNA, 664 nt
Filed under: Solanum lycopersicum (tomato)
Lineage: Eukaryota; Viridiplantae; Streptophyta; Magnoliopsida; Solanales; Solanaceae
Description: long non-coding RNA (SLYC_LNC000238)
Source: RNAcentral
AUGGGUAAAACAUUGAGUUUGAGCCAAUACACCAUAGCGAUGAUAAAAUGAUGACUAAGAAGAAUAAUAUAUUUUUGAUGAAAUGUCUUGAAAUUCAUCAUAUUGAAUUUGCUCCAUUCCUUGAAAAGAAUGUGGUAGCAACAUGUGAUAACUCUGAAAUCCGCCUGUUGACUUGCUCCAUUCAAUCAUAUGAAUGUGGUAGCAGUGAAUGAUUAGUCUGAAAGAUGACAAAUAAUUAAUGAUAUGAAUAAGGGCGUGGAGGGACAAAAUUAUAAUAGUCAUCAUUGUGGUAAUGAUAAAAGGAAGAACACUAUGAGUUCUUCAAAUAGUCCUUCAAAACGUGAAGAAAAUUUUUAUUAUAAAAAUGGUACGAAAGGUCAUUAGACUUGUGAAUGUUGUCGACCCAAUAAUUUGACAAGUUUAUAAAUCCUCUAUCAUGAUACAAGAAGAUAAAGUGAUGGUACACUUGAUCUUUCAAAGUGAUGUUGAGGUGUGUCAUGGAAAUAUGAUGAUUUUUAAAGCCAUGACAAUGUGCUUAUAAUGCAAAUUUAUGAAGUACAUAUAAAUAAUUAGUCCAUUCCUUGAAGAGAAUGUGACUUGUGAUGAGUAUCUUGAAUGCUCGAUCAUUCUAUAAGAGAAUGGGUCCAGAUGUGAUAAAAUCAUU